UACAGAGGGGGCAAGCGUUGUUCGGAAUUACUGGGCGUAAAGGGAGCGUAGGCGGACUGUUUAGUCAGAGGUGAAAGCCCAGGGCUCAACCUUGGAAUUGCCUUUGAUACUGGCAGUCUUGAGUACGGAAGAGGUAUGUGGAACUCCGAGUGUAGAGGUGAAAUUCGUAGAUAUUCGGAAGAACACCAGUGGCGAAGGCGACAUACUGGUCCGUUACUGACGCUGAGGCUCGAAAGCGUGGGGAGCAAACAGG
This 253-nucleotide ribosomal RNA is filed under the name uncultured bacterium. RNAcentral's name for it is "partial 16S ribosomal RNA". It matches the Rfam family "Bacterial small subunit ribosomal RNA", at positions 524 to 776 of the family's 1533-position model. The record is from RNAcentral.